RNAcentral lists this ribosomal RNA (654 nucleotides) under halophilic archaeon. Its description in RNAcentral is "bacterial SSU rRNA". It matches the Rfam family "Archaeal small subunit ribosomal RNA", at positions 109 to 762 of the family's 1478-position model. Lineage: Archaea; Methanobacteriati; Methanobacteriota; Halobacteria; Halobacteriales. The record is from RNAcentral.
CUACCCUUCGGAACACAAUACCCUCGGGAAACUGAGGCUAAUAGUGUAUACCACAGUCCACCUGGAAUGAGGACUGUGCCAAACGCUCCGGCGCCGAAGGAUGUGGCUGCGGCCGAUUAGGUAGACGGUGGGGUAACGGCCCACCGUGCCAAUAAUCGGUACGGGUCAUGAGAGUGAGAACCCGGAGACGGAAUCUGAGACAAGAUUCCGGGCCCUACGGGGCGCAGCAGGCGCGAAACCUUUACACUGCACGACAGUGCGAUAAGGGAAUCCCAAGUGCGUAGGCAUAGAGCCUACGCUUUUGUCCACCCUAGGGCGGUGGACGAAUAAGGGCUGGGCAAGACCGGUGCCAGCCGCCGCGGUAAUACCGGCAGCCCAAGUGAUGGCCGAUUUUAUUGGGCCUAAAGCGUCCGUAGCUGGCCGCACAAGUCCAUCGGAAAAUCCACCCGCUCAACGGGUGGGCGUCCGGUGGAAACUGUGUGGCUUGGGACCGGAAGGCGCGACGGGUACGUCCGGGGUAGGAGUGAAAUCCCGUAAUCCUGGACGGACCGCCGAUGGCGAAAGCACGUCGCGAGAACGGAUCCGACAGUGAGGGACGAAAGCUAGGGUCUCGAACCGGAUUAGAUACCCGGGUAGUCCUAGCCGUAAACAAUG